UGUGUCCCUCUUCAUUCUCCAGGAUGCAGGUCGAGAGUCGAGACGGGGGAUCCGCGGUAAACCAUGCGCCGCCACUCCUCCUUCCCCUCUUCCUCGCGUCGCCCCUCUCCGUGAGCUUGCAAGGAUGGCCCUCUUUCUACGUCACCACUCCCCAUCGGCGCCCUCGGCGGACUGGCCUGUAAGGACGCCCGCCGACGGCAUCCUCUCGUAGACACCGACGCGCUAGGAUUCUCCCACCGCCGCCUGCAUCCCUCCAGUGCCCCCUCACGCCGCGGCCUCCUCCCCUUCCUUUUAGCAUCGUUGACGCACCCCACGCCGAGGUCCCAGCCGAACGGCCACCACUGCUGUUGCUGUCAUUCGUCGCCGCCGAGUCCGUCCCACCGCAAGCACGGCCGCACUGCGAUCUACUCGCUCCUCCCUUGCUGCAGGCAUGUAGAUGGUGAGGAACCUUAAUCCCUAGGUGAUCUGCUGCCAGAUUGUUCACACAACGUGACACAUUCACUCCCAUUGGGUUGGCACGUGCUCGCUUGUGAGAUGAAUGCAUGGUAAAAUAUUAAAGAUCUGCCAUGUGAGAGGCUCCUGCUACUGGAAGACGAGGAACUUGUUGAUGCCCAGCUCCUCAAGGGGAGGCGCCAGCCACCGCCGACGCUGGCGUUGCCAUGGCCAUCCAUCCUCGCCGUCUGAUGGAACCGCCCAUGCCAUGGUCGUUGUCAGAAUUGUCCGAGUUGAUGUACUGAAGAAAGGCAGAUGUCAUAUCAUGCUAUGUUCUUUCAACCUGUGCUUAACAUUUUAAUGUAAGUCACCUGGUGCAGAGGACUUCAACAACAUGCUCUGUUUGAAGAGCAAGCAGUGAAAUUGUUGGUGCCUGAUCUGGUUUUGUGGGCGGUAGUCUUGCUUUCAAAAAUAUAUGACAUCACACAUCAAGUUUUACCUGGUUGACAAUAUCAAGGUUUACAAUAACGAGGAAGCAAAAAUUACUUGUGGGGCUAGGCUCGGCUACUGCUUGUAGAUCAUGGCGUCUUUGCAGAAGAAUCAAGGCAACCGUGCAAAGGAGGUUGGCGGCAAUGAGCAACUUAGGAAGGAGACGACAUCCGUGGGGUUGUAUUAUACACCAAGAUCAGGCUCGCGUUGGAGCUCAUAUAAUCUUGCUUGUUGAAGUUCACAUCAUGUACACCAACCUCAUGAUGUGAUUAGCAAGUGGCCCUGAUUAUACCAAAUGCAUGUCCGAGUAGAGUAAUAUUUCUUUCUUCAGGUGCAUUGUUGCAUUUCUUAUUUUCUUAAUGACUGUUCGAGUGUAAUAUUUCUUUGUUUUCCAAAUACAUGUUCUAAUUCAGAUAAUAGUCUGUAACCUGCAGGUUUUAAAUUUUGACUUCCAAUGAAGUUGUAAAGCUUUUUGAAAAAACAAAUACUUCCUCCGUCACAGUUUAGAAGACAUGGUUAAAUUUACAUGCAUUUCCAGAAUAGACAAGGUUUAGGGCGCAUUGCAUUUACUCCUAGCAGCUAAUUAGCACUCCAUUGUACUACUUCUAUAUGCAUGCGUAGUGUGAAUGCUAUUUUUCAGUCCAUCUCACAGCCAAUCAAUAACCACCUAAGUUUCAGAGAAUUUGCAAGAACACCUUCUAAACCGUGACGGAGGGAGUAUGAAGUUCCAAUGUUUGGUGCACAUAAACUUUGGAACUUUGCAGCAUGAUAAUGAAGUGAAUAAGGAAAAGAAGGAAAUCACAGCCUACAAGCCAUUAAAAGGGUAAGGACUCGAUCUAAAUUUAUUGCACCAGUAAAUAUACGAAUUGACCUGUUAGGAGUGGCUUCGCUAAAAUUAAGGUCUCAAAUGUUUGAAUUAUGCAAUUAAUGGAGUUAAUGUUUUUUCACUUUUGUUCCUAAAGAUAUCCUGAUGCCUACUUUGCUGGUACCAAAUCCCAUUAGUAAUGCAAAGCUUUCAAUUUAGAACAAAUAUGUAUAUUUGGAGAACAUGGUUUUCCGUUUAUCCAAAUACUUUAUUGUCCGUAAUCUUUCUCAAGGCCCAUUAUAUUUGCAGAUACACAGUUUUUGUUCCUGUACCACCUAAGAAAAUAGAUCAUACAAUAUUGAUUUUAUUUUCGAUUCUUAUUUGCCUAUUGAUCGUACAUGUACAGUAUGUAGUUCAAUAAAAUUUAUGUAUCGGUAACUUUUGCUGGCAUAUUGUUUGUCUGCUUUGUCAUCUAUGAGAUCAUUACUGACUUUUUUGGUACUGUUUACACAUGUUAAGAUCUCUUCAGUAAGCAGAUUCAUUCAAUGUAUUAGUUCACACAUCUUAAUUGUGUGACUAUUGGAGCGUUAUAUAUGACAUUGUCUUGUUUGUAUCAUGUGAGAGUAUAAGAGGCAACUAAAAAUGGUGCCAUGUGGAAGCUACCCGAUAUUGUCACAUGUACAUAUGAUCGUUAUGUUGGGGCAGGUAGUUUGUUUUGGUGGAAGAACCAAGGGAGAAGCAUCCAUUUGACAAGCUCAAAGUCAUUGGUUAGCAUCACCAUCUUUGUAAAUAUCUUAAACCAAGAUCUAGGAGUAUUUAACCAAUCAUGCUCUAAAGCCAACGGAGAAUGUGAGAGAAAAUAUUUGUAAAUGAUGGAGUCUCCAUAUGAAUGUGUUUAAUUUUACUUA
Hordeum vulgare subsp. vulgare (domesticated barley) is the source of this 2634-nucleotide long non-coding RNA. RefSeq lists it as uncharacterized. The transcript is spliced from 6 exons. The record is from RefSeq and is a predicted model, not a curated record. NCBI's taxonomy places the organism in Eukaryota, Viridiplantae, Streptophyta, Magnoliopsida, Poales, Poaceae.